RNAcentral lists this ribosomal RNA (407 nucleotides) under uncultured prokaryote. Its description in RNAcentral is "bacterial SSU rRNA". It matches the Rfam family "Bacterial small subunit ribosomal RNA", at positions 355 to 776 of the family's 1533-position model. The record is from RNAcentral. RNAcentral also lists the same sequence under 1 other name.
UGGGGAAUAUUGCGCAAUGGGGGAAACCCUGACGCAGCAACGCCGCGUGAAGGAUGAAGGGUUUCGGAUUGUAAACUUCUUUGAUGAGGGACGAACACAAUGACGGUACCUCAAAAACAAGCCACGGCUAACUACGUGCCAGCAGCCGCGGGAAUACGUAGGUGGCAAGCGUUGUCCGGAAUUACUGGGUGUAAAGGGCGUGUAGGGGGGGAUGCAAGUCAGAUGUGAAAUUCCGGGGCUCCACCCCGGCGCUGCAUCUGAAACUGUAUCUCUUGAGUGCUGGAGAGGAAAGCGGAAUUCCUAGUGUAGCGGUGAAAUGCGUAGAUAUUAGGAGGAACACCAGUGGCGAAGGCGGCUUUCUGGACGACAACUGACGCUGAGGCGCGAAAGCGUGGGGAGCAAACAGG